Molecule: ribosomal RNA, 497 nt
Filed under: uncultured bacterium
Lineage: Bacteria
Description: partial 16S ribosomal RNA
Rfam family: Bacterial small subunit ribosomal RNA
Source: RNAcentral
GAUGAACGCUGGCGGCGUGCCUAAUACAUGCAAGUCGAGCGAACGGACGAGAAGCUUGCUUCUCUGAUGUUAGCGGCGGACGGGUGAGUAACACGUGGAUAACCUACCUAUAAGACUGGGAUAACUUCGGGAAACCGGAGCUAAUACCGGAUGAUAUUUUGAACCGCAUGGUUCAAAAGUGAAAGACGGUCUUGCUGUCACUUAUAGAUGGAUCCGCGCUGCAUUAGCUAGUUGGUAAGGUAACGGCUUACCAAGGCAACGAUGCAUAGCCGACCUGAGAGGGGGAUCGGCCACACUGGAACUGAGACACGGUCCAGACUCCUACGGGAGGCAGCAGUAGGGAAUCUGCCGCAAUGGGCGAAAGCCUGACGGAGCAACGCCGCGUGAGUGAUGAAGGUCUUCGGAGCGUAAAACUCUGUUAUUAGGGAAGAACAUAUGUGUAAGUAACUGUGCACAUCUUGACGGUACCUAAUCAGAAAGCCACGGCUAACUACGUG